RNAcentral lists this ribosomal RNA (448 nucleotides) under uncultured bacterium. RNAcentral describes it as "bacterial SSU rRNA". It matches the Rfam family "Bacterial small subunit ribosomal RNA", at positions 329 to 794 of the family's 1533-position model. The record is from RNAcentral.
CUCCAGACUCCUACGGGAGGCAGCAGUGGGGAAUAUUGCACAAUGGGGGAAACCCUGAUGCAGCGACGCCGCGUGAGUGAAGAAGUAUUUCGGUAUGUAAAGCUCUAUCAGCAGGGAAGAAAAUGACGGUACCUGACCAAGAAGCCCCGGCUAACUACGUGCCAGCAGCCGCGGUAAUACGUAGGGGGCAAGCGUUAUCCGGAUUUACUGGGUGUAAAGGGAGCGUAGACGGUUGUGCAAGUCAGAAGUGAAAGCCCGGGGCUCAACUCCGGGACUGCUUUUGAAACUGUGAAACUGGAGUGCAGGAGAGGUAAGCGGAAUUCCUGGUGUAGCGGUGAAAUGCGUAGAUAUCAGGAGGAACACCGGCGGCGAAGGCGGCCUGCUGGACCGUAACUGACGUUGAGGCUCGAAAGCGUGGGGAGCAAACAGGAUUAGAUACCCCCGUAGU